AUACGGAGGAUCCGAGCGUUAUCCGGAUUUAUUGGGUUUAAAGGGAGCGUAGGUGGACAGUUAAGUCAGUUGUGAGAGUUCGCGGCUCAACCGUAAAAUUGCAGUUGAUACUGGCUGGCUUGAGUACAGUAGAGUGGGGAGGGCAUGGUGGGGGAGCGGUGAAAUGCUUAGAUAUCACGAAGAACUCCGAUUGCGAAGGCAGCUCACUGGACUGCAACUGACACUGAUGCUCGAAAGUGUGGGUAUCAAACAGGAUUAGAUACCCUGGUAGUCCACACAGUAAACGAUGAAUACUCGCUGUUUGCGAUAUACAGUAAGCGGCCAAGCGAAAGCAUUAAGUAUUCCACCUGGGGAGUACGCCGGCAACGGUGAAACUCAAAUGAAUUGGCGGGG
RNAcentral lists this ribosomal RNA (393 nucleotides) under uncultured bacterium. Its description in RNAcentral is "partial 16S ribosomal RNA". It matches the Rfam family "Bacterial small subunit ribosomal RNA", at positions 523 to 918 of the family's 1533-position model. The record is from RNAcentral.